GGAGCAGGCCCUCGCGUGGCCAGGGGAGGGCGCGCGCCGCGGAGCCGGGCUGCAGGGGCUGGGGGAGGGGGUCACGAGGAAGAGGAGGGGCGCACUCCCAUUCCCAUAGACCCCUUAAGUCUAAUAAGGUCAUGGCUGGGUCUCUCAGAGUGUGGACCUGCCCCCUUCUACUCUGGGCGGUUAGAAAGUCGUUAGUCGUUCACCUCUCAGCCUUCCUGAGUGGGAACUGGUAUGUCUUCCAAAGGGUGAGGUGGCUUUGACCCCGGGUUGCCCGGCCAGCACGACCGAGGAGGUGGCUGGACAGCUGGAGGAUGAACGGAGAAGCCGACUGCCCCACAGACCUGGAAAUGGCCGCCCCCAAAGGCCAAGACCGUUGGUCCCAGGAAGACAUGCUGACUUUGCUGGAAUGCAUGAAGAACAACCUUCCAUCCAAUGACAGCUCCAAGUUCAAAACCACCGAAUCACACAUGGACUGGGAAAAAGUAGCAUUUAAAGACUUUUCUGGAGACAUGUGCAAGCUCAAAUGGGUGGAGAUUUCUAAUGAGGUGAGGAAGUUCCGUACAUUGACAGAAUUGAUCCUCGAUGCUCAGGAACAUGUUAAAAAUCCUUACAAAGGCAAAAAACUCAAGAAACACCCAGACUUCCCAAAGAAGCCCCUGACCCCUUAUUUCCGCUUCUUCAUGGAGAAGCGGGCCAAGUAUGCGAAACUCCACCCUGAGAUGAGCAACCUGGACCUAACCAAGAUUCUGUCCAAGAAAUACAAGGAGCUUCCGGAGAAGAAGAAGGUGGGGGGAGGAGAGUUAAGGUGGGAGGAGGGGAGAGGCUGGGAGCAGCUGGUGUGGUGUGGGUCAGUUGGAGGUAGGCCUUGGAGAAACCUGGCAUCAGGGAUGAGGGUGAGUCGGCACAGCAGAAUAGGUCCUGGGCAGCCACACCUGAUUGCCCCUUCCUCGGCCCACACAUGGUCAGGCACAGGCACCAUCACAGAUGUAAACCAGACAGCAGGUGCUCAGACCAACCUCUCCCCCUACAGAAAACCCACAGCAUUCUGUUUCAAGCUCUCUCUCCCCCAUACACCCAUCCUCACU
This 1085-nucleotide small RNA is filed under the name Pan troglodytes (chimpanzee). Its description in RNAcentral is "processed transcript". Lineage: Eukaryota; Metazoa; Chordata; Mammalia; Primates; Hominidae. The record is from RNAcentral.